Paramuricea clavata is the source of this 317-nucleotide non-coding RNA. The record is from the annotation of a GenBank genome assembly. NCBI's taxonomy places the organism in Eukaryota, Metazoa, Cnidaria, Anthozoa, Malacalcyonacea, Plexauridae.
CUCAAGAGAAGAUCAACUUAGCAAUUUGCAUUAGCAUUUGCAAGGUUGAUCUUCUCUUCGCCCCGCUACCCCGGCUGGCUCUCCGAGUGCUACCUCUACUUUAAGUAGAAGUACUUUUACUAUGAAGUACUUUUGCUUGAAGUAGAGGUAGCACUUGGGGAGCCGGCCGGGGUAGGGAGAUUUUUUUUAUUUUUUUUUUCAAUUCCCAUGGGAAUUGAAUUUUUAAUUAAAAAGGACUCUCUUGUAUAAUUAAUGACAAUUUAUUGAAAAGAACUUGUAAAUAUUACAAUUUGAAUAACAAUAAAAAGAGAACAACC